GAUGAACGCUGGCGGCGUGCCUAAUACAUGCAAGUCGAGCGAACGGGCGAGAAGCUUGCUUCUCUGAUGUUAGCGGCGGACGGGUGAGUAACACGUGGAUAACCUACCUAUAAGACUGGGAUAACUUCGGGAAACCGGAGCUAAUACCGGAUAAUAUUUUGAACCGCAUGGUUCAAAAGUGAAAGGCGGUCUUGCUGUCACUUAUAGAUGGAUCCGCGCUGCAUUAGCUAGUUGGUAAGGUAACGGCUUACCAAGGCAACGAUGCAUAGCCGACCUGAGAGGGUGAUCGGCCACACUGGAACUGAGACACGGUCCAGACUCCUACGGGAGGCAGCAGUAGGGAAUCUUCCGCAAUGGGCGAAAGCCUGACGGAGCAACGCCGCGUGAGUGAUGAAGGUCUUCGGAUCGUAAAACUCUGUUAUUAGGGAAGAACAUAUGUGUAAGUAACUGUGCACAUCUUGACGGUACCUAAUCAGAAAGCCACGGCUAACUACGUG
RNAcentral lists this ribosomal RNA (497 nucleotides) under uncultured bacterium. RNAcentral's name for it is "partial 16S ribosomal RNA". It matches the Rfam family "Bacterial small subunit ribosomal RNA", at positions 28 to 507 of the family's 1533-position model. The record is from RNAcentral.